Molecule: non-coding RNA, 390 nt
Organism: Danio aesculapii
Lineage: Eukaryota; Metazoa; Chordata; Actinopteri; Cypriniformes; Danionidae
Source: the annotation of a RefSeq genome assembly
AUGUUCCUCAUCUCAUUAUUUUUCAUCUUUAUCCUCAGUUACUGCAAGUACUGUGUAGUAAAUGGGAAUGUCAUCAGACCAGAGAGAACAACUGUAGUUUUAACUGAAGAAAGCAACAUCACUCUGUCUUGUACAUUUAAUAUAACACCCUACAGGUUCCACUGGUACCGGCAGACGCCUGGAUCAAGUCCAGAGUUUCUGCUGCUGAUUGUGAGGUCAACUAAAACUACAAUUGAAGCUUCUCCACCUAAGCCACAUAUGUCCAUCAACUUCAGUGAGAAACGUGUGGAUCUGGAGAUCUCCUCUGCUGCGGUGUCAGACUCGGCUGUGUACUACUGUGCCCUGGAGCCCACAGUGACAGGAAACACAACUACACUGUACAAAAACUAA